AUGGGGUGGACCCACGUGGGAGGGCUCCGGGCGGCCGUGACCCUGCUGGAGUCCGGGGGGGACCUCCAGCCCCCCGGGGGGUCCCUGCGCCUCCUCUGCCGAGGGUCUGGGUUCAGUUUCGGCAGUUUUGGGGUGGGCUGGAUCCGCCAGAGACCCGGGCAGGCGCUGGAAUUUGUUGCAAGCAUCAACGACAAUGGUGCCAGCAUCUACUACGCGCCCUCAGUCAAGGGCCGGUUCACGAUCUCCAGGGACAACGGGCAGAGCUCGGUGACGCUGACCAUGAACAACCUCAAGAACGAGGAUUCCGGAUCCUAUUUCUGUGCCAGACGUGACAAUGGUUAUGCUCCUGCUGGUGCUGCCGCUGGUUCCGUCCCCACCCCGAGUGCCCUGUAG
Molecule: non-coding RNA, 393 nt
Organism: Passer domesticus (house sparrow)
Lineage: Eukaryota; Metazoa; Chordata; Aves; Passeriformes; Passeridae
Source: the annotation of a RefSeq genome assembly